Molecule: ribosomal RNA, 468 nt
Filed under: uncultured bacterium
Lineage: Bacteria
Description: partial 16S ribosomal RNA
Rfam family: Bacterial small subunit ribosomal RNA
Source: RNAcentral
GUCGAACGCUGGCGGCGUGCUUAACACAUGCAAGUCGAACGGAAAGGCCCAGCUUGUGCCUGGUGCCCGCGUCGCGAACGGGUGUGUUACACGUGAGUCACCUGCCCUUGACUUUGGGAUAACUUCAGGAAACUGGGGCUACUACAGGAGAGGUGCUCCUGAUGCAUGGUGGGGGUUGGAAAGUUUCGGCGGAUGUGGAUGGACUCGCGGCUUAUCAGCUUGUGGGUGGGGUAGUUGCCUACCAACGCUUUGGCUGGUAGCCGGCCUGAGAGGGUGACCAGCCACAUUGGGACUGAGAUACGGCCCAGUCGCCUACGGUAGACAGCAGUCGAGAAUCUUACACAAUGGGCCGAAGCCUGAGGCAGCAACGCCGCGAGCGGGAUGCACUCCUACGGGUUGGAAACCGCUUUCGCCUGUGACGUAGCGGGAGUGACGUUAAUGUGUAAAGAAGCACCGGCUAACUACGUG